Molecule: ribosomal RNA, 515 nt
Filed under: uncultured Massilia sp. FR036
Lineage: Bacteria; Pseudomonadati; Pseudomonadota; Betaproteobacteria; Burkholderiales; Oxalobacteraceae
Description: bacterial SSU rRNA
Rfam family: Bacterial small subunit ribosomal RNA
Source: RNAcentral
UAAUACGUAGGGUGCAAGCGUUAAUCGGAAUUACUGGGCGUAAAGCGUGCGCAGGCGGUUUUGUAAGUCUGACGUGAAAGCCCCGGGCUCAACCUGGGAAUUGCGUUGGAGACUGCAAGGCUUGAAUCUGGCAGAGGGGGUAGAAUUCCACGUGUAGCAGUGAAAUGCGUAGAGAUGUGGAGGAACACCGAUGGCGAAGGCAGCCCCCUCGGGUCAAGAUUGACGCUCAUGCACGAAAGCGUGGGAGCAAACAGGAUUAGAUACCCUGGUAGUCCACGCCCUAAACGAUGUCUACUAGUUGUCGGGUUUUAAUUAACUUGGUAACGCAGCUAACGCGUGAAGUAGACCGCCUGGGGAGUACGGUCGCAAGAUUAAAACUCAAAGGAAUUGACGGGGACCCGCACAAGCGGUGGAUGAUGUGGAUUAAUUCGAUGCAACGCGAAAAACCUUACCUACCCUUGACAUGUCAGGAAGUCCGGAGAGAUCUGGAUGUGCCCGAAAGGGAGCCUGAACAC